UACAGAGACUGCGAGCGUUAUUCGGAUUCACUGGGCGUAAAGGGUGCGCAGGCGGCCAAGUGUGUUAGGCGUGAAAGCCCGGGGCUUAACCCCGGAAUUGCACCUAAAACUACAUGGCUAGAGCAUUGGAGAGGGUAGCAGAAUUCACGGUGUAGCAGUGAAAUGCGUAGAUAUUCGGAAGAACACCAGUGGCGAAGGCGACUCGCUGGACAGACAUUGACGCUGAGGUGCGAAAGCGUGGGGAGCAAACAGG
RNAcentral lists this ribosomal RNA (253 nucleotides) under uncultured bacterium. Its description in RNAcentral is "partial 16S ribosomal RNA". It matches the Rfam family "Bacterial small subunit ribosomal RNA", at positions 524 to 776 of the family's 1533-position model. The record is from RNAcentral.